AUGAGCGCUAGCCUCACGCAGUGGCUCAGGCAGGCCGGUGGCAGGAACCAGGCCCGUGGAGGAGGGGUGCCCUUGUUGCCCACGUGUCCCACGAUCAGUUGCGCUGUCUGCCGCUCGGCCUGGCACCGACGGCCCCACUCGGCCAGCCGGUCCUUGCCCAGGCCCCCGGGGAACAUGACCACCAGCUCCAAGCCGUCGCCGCCGGGAUAGGCACAAGCCUGACAUAGCGCUGACAAGUAGCCCAGCAUGGCGUUCCAUUGGCCGCCACACACCCAAUCCGUCUGGUAGCCGCCAUAAAGCCGAGGCAGCGCUGAGCCCGCGUCCACCAGCACCCGGGCCCCGGGCAGCGGAGGGGGCGGCGGCGGCGGCGGCGGCGGCGGCGGGUGCAGCCCGGGGUGCGCCUGGCCGUGAUGGUGGAAGUGGUGGAAAUGGUGCGCACUUGGACCGGUGGCUGAUAAAGGGAUCACCUAGGAGAGAACACCUUGGAGUCAUUGUCAUUAAAUCAAGGAGGGAUCGUGGAUGGAUUCUGCACUGAUGAAGCUGGAAAUGCCUGCAAAUUCAUCCCCGGCUGGAACGGUCCCCCAGAUUGGGUAGGAAUUACUACAGACUGUUGUGGUGUUCCUGAAAUUCCUACCCACUGUACUGGAUACCCUGGCCCCCCCACAGCAUUAUAUUGACAAACAUGGGGUAUUCCAUAUGAUGAUAAUGGGCCAGGAAAUGAAGGGCGUGAAAGUCCUUGUGGCAAGGAGGUUGGGACAGCUCCACGGAUUUGGGACAGAGAAGAAAUCCAUGUUGAUGUGU
Long non-coding RNA from Eubalaena glacialis (North Atlantic right whale), 801 nucleotides. RefSeq lists it as uncharacterized. NCBI's taxonomy places the organism in Eukaryota, Metazoa, Chordata, Mammalia, Artiodactyla, Balaenidae. The record is from RefSeq and is a predicted model, not a curated record. The transcript has 4 exons.